This 274-nucleotide ribosomal RNA is filed under the name uncultured prokaryote. Its description in RNAcentral is "partial 16S ribosomal RNA". It matches the Rfam family "Bacterial small subunit ribosomal RNA", at positions 524 to 798 of the family's 1533-position model. The record is from RNAcentral.
CACGGGGUUGCGAGCGUUGUCCGGAAUUACUAGGCGUAAAGGGCAGGCAGGCGGAUCCAUAAGUUUAUCGUUUAAGGCGUCGGCUUAACCGGCGUAGGGCGGUAGAUACUGUGGAUCUGGAAUGCGGUUCGGGAAGACAGAAUUCCUGGUGUAGCGGUGGAAUGCGCAGAGAUCAGGAGGAAUACCGAAUGCGAAGGCAGUCUUCCAAGCCGUUAUUGACGCUCAACUGCGAAGGUGUGGGUAUCAAACAGGAUUAGAUACCCUGGUAGUCCCU